GAUGAACGCUGGCGGCGUGCCUAAUACAUGCAAUUCGAGCGAACGGACGAGAAGCUUGCUUCUCUGAUGUUAGCGGCGGACGGGUGAGUAACACGUGGAUAACCUACCUAUAAGACUGGGAUAACCUCGGGAAACCGGAGCUAAUACCGGAUGAUAUUUUGAACCGCAUGGUUCAAAAGUGAAAGACGGUCUUGCUGUCACUUAUAGAUGGAUCCGCGCUGCAUUAGCUAGUUGGUAAGGUAACGGCUUACCAAGGCAACGAUGCAUAGCCGACCUGAGAGGGUGAUCGGCCACACUGGAACUGAGACACGGUCCAGACUCCUACGGGAGGCAGCAGUAGGGAAUCUUCCGCAAUGGGCGAAAGCCUGACGGAGCAACGCCGCGUGAGUGAUGAAGGUCUUCGGAUCGUAAAACUCUGUUAUUAGGGAAGAACAUAUGUGUAAGUAACUGUGCACAUCUUGACGGUACCUAAUCAGAAAGCCACGGCUAACUACGUG
This 497-nucleotide ribosomal RNA is filed under the name uncultured bacterium. RNAcentral's name for it is "partial 16S ribosomal RNA". It matches the Rfam family "Bacterial small subunit ribosomal RNA", at positions 28 to 507 of the family's 1533-position model. The record is from RNAcentral.